This is a long non-coding RNA of Platichthys flesus (European flounder), 764 nucleotides long. RefSeq lists it as uncharacterized. The record is from RefSeq and is a predicted model, not a curated record. The transcript is spliced from 4 exons. NCBI's taxonomy places the organism in Eukaryota, Metazoa, Chordata, Actinopteri, Pleuronectiformes, Pleuronectidae.
AACAUGCGGACGCUCAGGGAAGGUGUAAUGAGCAACAGAAAAAAUGUGCUUCCUUCUGGGCUGAGAAGGAGGAACUCUCCAAGUCUAGCCUGAAAGACAAGACCAACCAGCAGCAGUUGGAGAAGGAACUUGCCAGAAUGCUGAACUGAGCAACAGCCUCAAAGCCCUAGAGAGAUCCAUGGCUACAUGGCUCUGUAGAGAGAGCUCGAUGGGACUAAAACUAAGCUGUCGGACCUGACGGAAAACUAUGAGAAUACCGAUCAGGAGACUUAGACGCUUACAGAAACUUAAGUCAUGCAAAGCCAACAUGAAGAAGCUUCAGGAGAAAAGAUCAAAGAGAGCGUGGAUGACCUGGGUGCUGGCGGUCGCUGUGGUUGUAACGGGAGUGACUGCUGCUGCACUCUUCAGAACCUGAGGGCAACUCGCUGGAGCACACACACAAGUGAAUCCAGCCAGCCCACCCCCCACGAGGCCCUCCGGUGGUCGAAAUCCGUCUCGAAUUCCGUCUCUGGCUGUGUGUUGGAGAGCACCGUGGCAUGCAUCACUGCCACAUCAAAGCUUGUCUGCAGCAAAACUGAAAAACUUGCCCCUCAUCAUAUCUGCACUAUUAAUUAGGAGGGCUCCUACGCAACACUGUUUGAUCCUUUAAUGAAUGUUAAGAGACUCUACACAAUUAAUUUAUUCUGAUUAUACAUGAUGAUAUUUUUCUGAGUCUGAACCUACCUAAAUGUAACACAUCUCUGUAAUUGUCAGAAUAUUAAAUA